CACGUAGUUAGCCGUGACUUCCUCGCCGGGUACCAUCACUCAGAAAGCUUUCCACUCUUUCUGCCUUUUGUCCCCGGCAACAGAGCCUUACGAUCCGAAGACCUUCCCCGCUCACGCGGCAUUGCUCGUUCAGGGUUCCCCCCAUUGACGAAAAUUCCCUACUGCUGCCUCCCGCAGGAGUCUGGGCCGUGUCUCAGUCCCAGUGUGGCCGUCCGCCCUCUCAGGCCGGCUAUGCAUCGUCGCCUUGGUGAGCCGUUACCUCUCCAACCAGCUAAUGCACCGCAGGUCCAUCUGCAUGCGGGACUCUUGUCCCUUUCCAAAAAGAGAUGCCUCCUCUUUGCUCAUCCGGUAUCAGCUUCCGUUUCCAGUAAGUUCUCCCGCUCAUGCAGGCAGGUUCCCUAGUCGUUACUCACCCGUUCGCCACUCAUAUCCGAAGAUAUCCGUUCGACUUGCAUCGUAUUAGGCAUCGCCGCCAGCGUUCACUCCGUGAGUCCGAGGUA
RNAcentral lists this ribosomal RNA (500 nucleotides) under uncultured Allobaculum sp. RNAcentral describes it as "partial 16S ribosomal RNA". Lineage: Bacteria; Bacillati; Bacillota; Erysipelotrichia; Erysipelotrichales; Erysipelotrichaceae. The record is from RNAcentral.